ACCAGAACUAUAAUCAUCAGCAAUUCCUUUUUUGCUUUGUUUUAUUAAUUUUUUACUAAUAGCAUAGGUAGCAGCUCUAAUCAAUAGCAAUUGACUAUGCCUUGAUCAAAACUAAAUGAUGUCCUUUGUCCAAUUCGGGCUCAUUUCUCCAAUAAUAAAUUCUCCUCCCAUUUCAAUGUCUGUCAGACCCGAAUUUUAUUGAUCUAGCCCUGAAAAGUUCGCUGUGUGAACCUGUAUGUUUUUGGGCCUAGGACUUAUUUGUAUGCACGUGUUAUAUAAGUGCGUUUAGUGGGCUAUUUCGGGUUGUUCUCAUACACACGAAAUUGAGACUAUCGUCUCCAUAUUAUACUCCUCUCCAUUAUAGUGGAUUCCUCUGACUCUACCGUGAUUUUUUCCAUAAGAAUUUCCACGUAAAUCUGUGCGUUCUUGUUUUUCCUUUUGCUUGUGGUUUGCUUAUUUUGGCCAAUUCAUAAGAGUCUUGUUUUUCCUUUUGCUUGUGGUUUGCUUAUUUUGGCCAAUUCAUAAGAGUCUUGUUUUUCCUUUUGCUUGUGGUUUGCUUAUUUUGGCCAAUUCAUAACAGUCUGUUUUACUUGCUAUUUGAACGUCUGCAGAUAUCUUCUUUGUUCAUAAUUUUUUCAAAUAUUUUUUAACAAAAUUAUUAGC
This 663-nucleotide long non-coding RNA is filed under the name Capsicum annuum. RNAcentral describes it as "long non-coding RNA (CANN_LNC013200)". Lineage: Eukaryota; Viridiplantae; Streptophyta; Magnoliopsida; Solanales; Solanaceae. The record is from RNAcentral.